UCCUGACUGCUACUUUAAUUUAUUUAUCUGAUGUUGGACUGUUUAACAUAUUUCUUUAAUGCUCUUAAUUGGAUAUUUCAGAUUUUUAUUGAAAAAUUUCCAUUUCUUUGGAAUAUUUAGUUUUUCUAACAUAUAAUAAAUAUGUAGAGUACAUUAAGCUUUGGUGCUUCUGGCAUUUCAGAGGCUUAGUUCUCUUCUAGAGAAUGAGAGAACAAUUUGUCUUGGUUUUAUUACUUUUCAUUUCUUCUCUGUUAUUCCUUCCUCUCCUUCUUCUGUCUUUCCUUCCUUCCUUUCCCCUCUCCUUUCUUUCCUUUCUUCUCUUUUAUUCCCUCUUUUCUUCCCCAUUUCCCCUUUCUUCCUUCGCUCCAUUUUAUCCUUCCUGUUUUUCUCCCUUUCUUCAUUUUCUUACUUUCCUUCUUCCCCUCUUCCCUUCUUCCUUCUUUCUCUCUUUUCCUUCUUUUCCCUUCCUUUUUUUCUUCUCUACUUUCUUUCCUUCCUUCCUUUUCUUUUCUCCCUCCCUCUUCCCUUCCAGUCUUUCUUAUCUCCAUUCCUCCAUUCUUCCUUGUCACCUUUCUUUUUUUUUUAAACACUAUUUUAUUUGGUCAUUUUCAAACAUUAUUCAUUUGAAACAAAGAUCAUUUUCUUUCCCCUUCUCUCCCACCACCCCUCCCAUUGGCGAUGCGCGAUUCCUCUGGGUAUCACUUGUGUCCUCAAUCCAAAUUCAUUUCCAUGUUACUGGUUUUUGCAUUAGGGUAUUCAUUUCGAGUCUCUCCUCAAUCAUAUCUCCUCCACUGCUGUAUUCAAGCUGCUGCCUUUCCUCUGUGUUUUUACUCCCACGGUUUGUCCUCUGCUUGUGGGUAGUGUUUUUUUCUCCUUGAUUCCAGCAGGUUGUUCAGGGACAUUGCAUUGAAACUAAUGGAAAAGUCCAUUACGUUUGAGUGUACCACAAUGUAUUGACACCUUUCUUUCCCCCCUCUUUCCCACCUUCCUUCCUGCCUGACUUCCCUUCCUUCUUUCACUCUUUUCUUCCUUUUCCCCUUUUUUCUUUCUCAUCCUUCCUUCUUUCUUUUUCUCCCUUCAUUCUUCCUUCCUUUCCUUCACCCCUUGAUGUUCUCCUUUCAUUAUUUUCUUUCUUCCUUUCUUAACCACUCCUCUUCUCUUCUGUCCUUCCUUCAUCCUUCUUUCCUUCCCUCCUUCCUUCUUUCUCUUUCUCUCUUAUAUUUGUCUUUCAGUGAUGUGCUUUUAUAAUAAAGAGAUUAUACUAUAAGAAAUGAUGAAUAAG
This 1282-nucleotide long non-coding RNA is filed under the name Monodelphis domestica (gray short-tailed opossum). RNAcentral's name for it is "lncRNA (ENSMODG00000040972.1)". The record is from RNAcentral. Lineage: Eukaryota; Metazoa; Chordata; Mammalia; Didelphimorphia; Didelphidae.